RNAcentral lists this ribosomal RNA (478 nucleotides) under uncultured bacterium. Its description in RNAcentral is "partial 16S ribosomal RNA". It matches the Rfam family "Bacterial small subunit ribosomal RNA", at positions 28 to 507 of the family's 1533-position model. The record is from RNAcentral.
GAUGAACGCUGGCGGCGUGCUUAACACAUGCAAGUCGAGCGAGAAGUUUUGAAAAGAUUCUUCGGAUGAAAUUUAAAAUGGAAAGCGGCGGACGGGUGGGUAACGCGUAGGCAACCUGCCCCAUACAAAGGGAUAGCAUUUGGAAACGAAUAUUAAUACCUUAUGAAACUUAACUAGUGCAUGCUAGGUAGGUCAAAGAUUUAUCGGUAUGGGAUGGGCCUGCGUCUGAUUAGCUAGUUGGUGAGGUAACGGCUCACCAAGGCGACGAUAGUAGCCGACCUGAGAGGGUGAACGGCCACAUUGGAACUGAGACACGGUCCAAACUCCUACGGGAGGCAGCAGUGGGGAAUAUUGCACAAUGGGGGAAACCCUGAUGCAGCAACGCCGCGUGAACGAUGAAGGCCUUUGGGUCGUAAAGUUCUGUUCUAGGUGAUGAAAACUGACAGUAACCUAGGAGAAAGCCCCGGCUAACUCCGUG